Molecule: long non-coding RNA, 1122 nt
Organism: Marmota monax (woodchuck)
Lineage: Eukaryota; Metazoa; Chordata; Mammalia; Rodentia; Sciuridae
Exons: 2
Source: RefSeq, a predicted model, not a curated record
CAGAUUUAAAGUUAGGUAGUCAGUGUAGUUAGGUAAAUCGGGUCUAAUACCGAGUGAAAUCUAAAAUGGAGGCCAUGCUGGCAAUGAUUCCGGGAAACGCAGGACAACUCAAGGAAUGUUAAUGAAGUCCUAAAAGGCCCUAGGCCAAAGUCCACCUCAAAGAAAUGUUAAUGAACAGCCCCCAGCAAAAAGGUGCUGACUCAGAAGUCCUUCCUGACCUGAUUACUUCUUUGGCCCACCUGUGUCCCACCCCUCGGUCCUUCCCACCUACAUUCCAUUACUGAAAGAACUAUAAAAAGGGAAGACAACAUCCCUUCCACGGAUUCCACCUCUUGGGUCCCCUUCUUCCUCCGGGAGAAGUCUUUUCUGCUGUCCUUUAAUAAACUUCUAAUUUCUACUCUGACCUUGCCUCGGCGUGCUUCUUUGGUGUUAUUCUUCAACAUUGGGGAAGCAAGAACUCGUCACCGGUCAACAGCGGUAACAUAUUGGAGGUCCCAGACCGAGAUUCUACACCGAGACCAUCCAUCACUCAAAUGGCCCUCCAGCCUAUUACUUCUCAAUCAGACUUCUAUCAUGGACCACUCGAUAGACCCGAUUUUUAAAGGGGGACUCCAAACUGCUUGCCCCACACCGUCCCUUUUCAGCCUGAAGAAGCCAGAGAGAUUCUCUUCGCCCCCCUUCCUUACAGCAGUAAGGAGUUCCCAACUUAGAGGGGGGAAUGAAGCCAGAUUUAAAGUUAGGUAGUCAGUGUAGUUAGGUAAAUCGGGUCUAAUACCGAGUGAAAUCUAAAAUGGAGGCCAUGCUGGCAAUGAUUCCGGGAAACGCAGGACAACUCAAGGAAUGUUAAUGAAGUCCUAAAAGGCCCUAGGCCAAAGUCCACCUCAAAGAAAUGUUAAUGAACAGCCCCCAGCAAAAAGGUGCUGACUCAGAAGUCCUUCCUGACCUGAUUACUUCUUUGGCCCACCUGUGUCCCACCCCUCGGUCCUUCCCACCUACAUUCCAUUACUGAAAGAACUAUAAAAAGGGAAGACAACAUCCCUUCCACGGAUUCCACCUCUUGGGUCCCCUUCUUCCUCCGGGAGAAGUCUUUUCUGCUGUCCUUUAAUAAACUUCUAAUUUCUA